GUAGGUGGCAAGCGUUGUCCGGAAUUAUUGGGCGUAAAGCGCGCGCAGGCGGGUCCUUUAAGUCUGAUGUGAAAGCCCACGGGCUCAACCGUGGAGGGUCAUUGGAAACUGGGGGACUUGAGUACAGAAGAGGAAAGCGGAAUUCCACGUGUAGCGGUGAAAUGCGUAGAGAUGUGGAGGAACACCAGUGGCGAAGGCGGCUUUCUGGUCUGUAACUGACGCUGAGGCGCGAAAACGUGGGGAGCAAACAGGAUUAGAUACCCUGGUAGUCCACGCCGUAAACGAUGAGUGCUAAGUGUUAGGGGGUUUCCGCCCCUUAGUGCUGCAGCUAACGCAUUAAGCACUCCGCCUGGGGAGUACGGCCGCAAAGGCUG
RNAcentral lists this ribosomal RNA (374 nucleotides) under uncultured organism. RNAcentral describes it as "partial 16S ribosomal RNA". It matches the Rfam family "Bacterial small subunit ribosomal RNA", at positions 527 to 896 of the family's 1533-position model. The record is from RNAcentral.